This 435-nucleotide ribosomal RNA is filed under the name uncultured bacterium. RNAcentral describes it as "bacterial SSU rRNA". It matches the Rfam family "Bacterial small subunit ribosomal RNA", at positions 954 to 1392 of the family's 1533-position model. The record is from RNAcentral.
GCUAAACGCGAAGAACCUUACCAGGUCUUGACAUCCUAGGAACUUUCCAGAGAUGGGAGUGUGCCUUCGGGAACCGUGACACAGGUGCUGCAUGGCUGUCGUCAGCUCGUGUCGUGAGAUGUUGGGUUAAGUCCCGCAACGAGCGCAACCCUUAUCGUAUGUUGCCAGCAUUUAGUUGGGCACUCAUGCGAGACUGCCGGUGAUAAGCCGGAGGAAGGCGGGGACGACGUCAAGUCAUCAUGGCCCUUACGUGUAGGGCUAGAAACGUGCUACAAUGGUGGUCACAAUGGGCAGCAAGGUCGUGAGGCCAAGCUAAUCCCAAAAAGCCAUCUCAGUUCAGAUUGUAGUCUGCAACUCGACUACAUGAAGUUGGAAUCGCUAGUAAUCGCAAAUCAGCAUGUUGCGGUGAAUACGUUCCCGGUCUUGUACACACCG